CAUUGCUGUUCUACUUGUCUACAAGUAACUCACUGUUUGUUGUUUUUCAGGCUUAUCCUUUGAGUUCACUACAUCUAAUGACUUGUGAUUGUUGCAGUGAUAUCAACAAGCUUUUGCCUGGUCCUCACUUUGAUCCUCCUUCUAAAGAAGAAGUUAGAGCCUUGAUGCAGGAAUGUGAUAUGAAUCUUGAUGGUGAACUAGAUCAUGAAGAAUUUGUGAAAUUUGUGAAAAGAUUAACAAAGGAUACCUUCAUCACUGUGAGUCAGGGACUGAUUAUUACUUUAGCAGUAGCACCAACAGUUGCUGUGUUAACAAAGAGGACAACAGAAGGAGUCCCUGGUGUUGGGAAAGUGGUGCAGAAAAUACCAAAUGCUGUUUAUGCCUCUCUAGUUACCCUUACAAUAGUCAUGUUUCAGAAAGCAGCUGAGUCUAAGGGAAUUUGAAAUUUGUUUUCUUACAGAACCAAGUUUCUUCUUAUGUGUAUAAGAUAACAGAGACAUCUGCUACACUUGCAAGUUGAUCUAUCAGCAUCUCAUCUGUUGUG
This 544-nucleotide unclassified non-coding RNA is filed under the name Hevea brasiliensis (rubber tree). The record is from RNAcentral. Lineage: Eukaryota; Viridiplantae; Streptophyta; Magnoliopsida; Malpighiales; Euphorbiaceae.